This 30-nucleotide non-coding RNA is filed under the name Macaca fascicularis (crab-eating macaque). RNAcentral also lists the same sequence under 1 other name. The record is from RNAcentral. Lineage: Eukaryota; Metazoa; Chordata; Mammalia; Primates; Cercopithecidae.
UGCCUUGCAUCUGACUGACUGAGUGACUGU